GACGGAGCUGGCGUGGUGGCGAGACGCCCUCGGCCGGUACCCGCGGCUGGCGCUGCCGUUCGACGGUGACGUCGGAUCGGAUCCGGCUCCGCCG
This 94-nucleotide transfer RNA is filed under the name Actinoplanes regularis. RNAcentral describes it as "tRNA-Thr". The record is from RNAcentral. Lineage: Bacteria; Bacillati; Actinomycetota; Actinomycetes; Micromonosporales; Micromonosporaceae.